UACGUAGGGUGCGAGCGUUAAUCGGAAUUACUGGGCGUAAAGCGUGCGCAGGCGGUUCGUUGUGUCGGCGGUGAAAGCCCCGGGCUUAACCUGGGAAUGGCCGUUGAAACUGGCGGACUGGAGUGUGGCAGAGGGGGGUGGAAUUCCGCGUGUAGCAGUGAAAUGCGUAGAGAUGCGGAGGAACACCGAUGGCGAAGGCAGCCCCCUGGGCUACCACUGACGCUCAGGCACGAAAGCGUGGGGAGCAAACAGG
RNAcentral lists this ribosomal RNA (253 nucleotides) under uncultured bacterium. Its description in RNAcentral is "partial 16S ribosomal RNA". It matches the Rfam family "Bacterial small subunit ribosomal RNA", at positions 524 to 776 of the family's 1533-position model. The record is from RNAcentral.